AAGUCGUAACAAGGUCUCCGUUGGUGAACCAGCGGAGGGAUCAUUACAGAGUUGAAAAACUCCCAACCCUUGUGAACAUACCCGUUAACGUUGCUUCGGCGGGCGGCCCCAGGGCGGGGCCGCAGCCUCCUCGCGAGGCGCCCGCCGGAGGUAUCUAAACUCUUGUAUUAUUUGUUUUCUCUGAGUUGUCUUUUAAUAAGUCAAAACUUUCAACAACGGAUCUCUUGGUUCUG
RNAcentral lists this unclassified non-coding RNA (233 nucleotides) under Cordana verruculosa. RNAcentral describes it as "partial internal transcribed spacer region". The stretch from base 1 to 46 matches the Rfam family "Eukaryotic small subunit ribosomal RNA", at positions 1786 to 1831 of the family's 1831-position model. The record is from RNAcentral. Lineage: Eukaryota; Fungi; Ascomycota; Sordariomycetes; Coniochaetales; Cordanaceae.